This is a long non-coding RNA of Anolis carolinensis (green anole), 1913 nucleotides long. NCBI's taxonomy places the organism in Eukaryota, Metazoa, Chordata, Lepidosauria, Squamata, Anolidae. The record is from Ensembl.
AUGUUAUACAACAAAUUUGACAGAAAAGUAGUUCAAUACACAGUAAUGUUAUGUAGUGAUUACUGUAUUUACGAAUUUAGCACCAAAAUAUCACGAUGUAUUGAAAACAUUGACUACAAAAACGCAUUGGAUAAUCCAGAACAUUGGAUAAGUGAGUGUUGGAUAAGUGAGACUCUACUGUACUUAGAAACACAAACAAGGUUUUAACUUUGUAUUUUUAAAUACAUUAUAACUGUACCCUCUAUUUUCUUCUGACACGAUAAAUAAAUAAAAGAAAACUACCUCCUAAGAAGUUUAUUGCACAGAACUGUUGUUUCACAGCAAUUGUACAAUUACUGAUAGCAACGACAUACUGGGAUGAUCAUACUCUGUGUCGUCGAAGGCUUUCAUGGCCGGGAUCACAGGGUUGUUGUUUGUUUUCCGGGCUGUACGGCCAUGUUCCAGAAGUAUUCUCUCCUGGUGUUUCACCCACAUCUAUGGCAGGCAUUCUCUUUCCUUACUUAGUUUAUCCAUAACUCACAACCUCUGAGGAUGCCUGCCAUAGAUGUGGGUGAAACAUCAGGAGAGAAUACUUCUGGAACAUGGUCAUACAGACCGGAAAACAGACAACAACACCCGAUCAUACUCUGUAUUGCAUCUCUCUGCAUUCACUCAACUGCCCCGAUUUUCUGUUCUGUGGUCCCAUGGCUUUACUUCAGCUGAAUCUCAUAACUCUGCCCUUUUGCAGUUCUGUUGCUCCAUAAUUUUGUAAAAAAUAUUUUUUGAAAAGGCAAUUUUUCAAUUACAGCGAAGGAUAUUUUUUAAAUGAAUAAUAAAACAUUAAACCAAGGAAUUACAACCUCGGGAAUAUUAGAGAAGGAGAAUAUAAGAAGAGGAGAAUCCUGUUCCAUGACAUCAGUCUUGGCAUGCUGGCACAGAAGUAGAAUGACCUCAUCAAACUAAGUAAGUGAUGGGAACAUGGUUUGAUCUGUGACUAUUGAUAAGUCUUCCUGUCAAUAGCAGGGGGUUGGAUUUAUCAUCUGGUGGAAGCAAACCAGCAACGGGAUGAACAUGGUCUUGUGUCAUUGGGAUUGUCACCUGCUUCAAUGCCAGUUUGCCUCCUUCAUGAGAUAAAGUCCUAAGUUACUAGAGAAAUAUCACAGUUUCUACCUUCUGAUCAUGAAAAGUGGUCUACAAGACUUGUAUUUUUCUUUUCUCCAUCACAUUUCAAAUACUCAGCAUGAAACUUCAUAACUAGAAAUCUUAUUUCCAGGGAUUUUCUUUUUGUUUGCUACUUAGGCUACCCCAAGAAUAAGUGAGCGUAAGUUUUAAAAACCCCUUAUUGCAUGGAAACAUAAAGCAGUUUCCAUGCAUUAAUUAGAUUUGCUUUCCUAGAAUUGCACUAAAUACUUUGUUAAUAAUUUAUCUGCUCUGGAAAAAAUUAGGCCCUAUUCUUCAUGACUUUGAUUUUCAGAAAUGUGCUUGAUAUGUGAAACUAUUUGAUGUAUCUGAACACAUUUCUGCCUGUGGCUUGCUCAUGCAUUAUUCAUUGCAACAACUAAAGUGUUUGCUUUGUAAUUUGCUCUUUUCUGCGCAGCAUCCAUUCUUCACCUAAGUUACACAGUUUAAUUUCCCCACUGUGCGAAUCCUAACACCACCCCAAACAAAUAAGUGGAAAGAGUAUUUCAUUUCUUUAUAGGACAAAAAGUACUAGGUUGCGGAGAGUAGAGAAUAGAUGCUAAAGAAUCAAGGAAGUGUUUCUGUUCUGGUGCUGGUGGCUUCCAUGUUAGUAAGAUAAAGAAUCUACUCCACAUUUAGGGUGUAUCUACACUGUAGAAUUAAUACAGCUUGACGUUGCUUUAACUGUCAUGAGUCAAGGCUAUGGAACCAUGGGAGUUGUAAUUUUACAAGGUCCUUGGACCUCUCUGCCAAAG